CGGGAUCCAUCAAGCUUGCUUGGUGGUGAGAGUGGCGAACGGGUGAGUAAUGCGUGACCGACCUGCCCCAUGCUCCGGAAUAGCUCCUGGAAACGGGUGGUAAUGCCGGAUGUUCCACAUGAUCGCAUGUGAUUGUGGGAAAGAUUCUAUCGGCGUGGGAUGGGGUCGCGUCCUAUCAGCUUGUUGGUGAGGUAACGGCUCACCAAGGCUUCGACGGGUAGCCGGCCUGAGAGGGCGACCGGCCACAUUGGGACUGAGAUACGGCCCAGACUCCUACGGGAGGCAGCAGUGGGGAAUAUUGCACAAUGGGCGCAAGCCUGAUGCAGCGACGCCGCGUGAGGGAUGGAGGCCUUCGGGUUGUAAACCUCUUUUGUUUGGGAGCAAGCCUUCGGGUGAGUGUACCUUUCGAAUAAGCGCCGGCUAACUACGUGCCAGCAGCCGCGGUAAUACGUAGGGCGCAAGCGUUAUCCGGAUUUAUUGGGCGUAAAGGGCUCGUAGGCGGCUCGUCGCGUCCGGUGUGAAAGUCCAUCGCUUAACGGUGGAUCUGCGCCGGGUACGGGCGGGCUGGAGUGCGGUAGGGGAGACUGGAAUUCCCGGUGUAACGGUGGAAUGUGUAGAUAUCGGGAAGAACACGAUGGCGAAGGC
This 645-nucleotide ribosomal RNA is filed under the name bacterium Ba47. RNAcentral describes it as "bacterial SSU rRNA". It matches the Rfam family "Bacterial small subunit ribosomal RNA", at positions 67 to 722 of the family's 1533-position model. The record is from RNAcentral.